CAGCAGCCGCGGGAAUACGAAGGGGGCUAGCGUCGUUCGGAUUUACUGGGCGUAAAGCGCACGUAGGCGGACUUUUAAGUCAGGGGUGAAAUCCCGGGGCUCAACCCCGGAACUGCCUUUGAUACUGGAAGUCUUGAGUAUGGUAGAGGUGAGUGGAAUUCCGAGUGUAGAGGUGAAAUUCGUAGAUAUUCGGAGGAACACCAGUGGCGAAGGCGGCUCACUGGACCAUUACUGACGCUGAGGUGCGAAAGCGUGGGGAGCAAACAGGAUUAGAGACCCCGGUAGUCCCUGUCUCUUAUAC
RNAcentral lists this ribosomal RNA (301 nucleotides) under uncultured bacterium. Its description in RNAcentral is "partial 16S ribosomal RNA". It matches the Rfam family "Bacterial small subunit ribosomal RNA", at positions 509 to 807 of the family's 1533-position model. The record is from RNAcentral.